GCCGGAGUGGUGAAAUUGGUAGACACAGGGGAUUCAAAAUCCCCCGCCUAAACAGCGUGCCGGUUCGAGUCCGGCCUCCGGUACCA
RNAcentral lists this transfer RNA (86 nucleotides) under Halioglobus maricola. Its description in RNAcentral is "tRNA-Leu". It matches the Rfam family "tRNA". From Rfam's summary of the family: Transfer RNA (tRNA) molecules are approximately 80 nucleotides in length. Their secondary structure includes four short double-helical elements and three loops (D, anti-codon, and T loops). The record is from RNAcentral. Lineage: Bacteria; Pseudomonadati; Pseudomonadota; Gammaproteobacteria; Cellvibrionales; Halieaceae.